UCGAGAAUCUUUCGCAAUGGGGGAAACCCUGACGAAGCGACGCCGCGUGAGCGAUGAAGGUCUUCGGAUUGUAAAGCUCUGUCGCCUGGGAAGAAAACUCAGGGCGCUAAUAUCGCCUUGGACUGACGUUACCAGGAGAGGAAGCCCCGGCUAACUCUGUGCCAGCAGCCGCGGUAAUACAGAGGGGGCAAGCGUUGUUCGGAUUUACUGGGCGGAAAGGGCGCGUAGGCGGUUUCAAAAGUCAGAUGUGAAAUUUUUCCGCUCACCGGGAAAACUGCAUCUGAAACUCUGGGACUCGAGUUGGUGGGAAGGGAGUGGAAUUCUCGGUGUAGCGGUGAAAUGUGUAGAUAUCGAGAAGAACACCAGUGGCGAAAGCGGCUCUCUACCAUAAAACUGACGCUGAGGCGCGAAAGCUAGGGGAGCAAACG
Molecule: ribosomal RNA, 428 nt
Filed under: uncultured prokaryote
Description: bacterial SSU rRNA
Rfam family: Bacterial small subunit ribosomal RNA
Source: RNAcentral